This 433-nucleotide ribosomal RNA is filed under the name uncultured bacterium. Its description in RNAcentral is "partial 16S ribosomal RNA". It matches the Rfam family "Bacterial small subunit ribosomal RNA", at positions 29 to 507 of the family's 1533-position model. The record is from RNAcentral.
AACGAACGCUGGCGGCAUGCCUAACACAUGCAAGUCGAACGAGACCUUCGGGUCUAGUGGCGCACGGGUGCGUAACGCGUGGGAACCUGCCCUUAGGUUCGGAAUAACUCCCCGAAAGGGGUGCUAAUACCGGAUAAUGUCUUCGGACCAAAGAUUUAUCGCCUUUGGAUGGGCCCGCGUUGGAUUAGCUAGUUGGUAGGGUAAAAGCCUACCAAGGCGACGAUCCAUAGCUGGUCUGAGAGGAUGAUCAGCCACACUGGGACUGAGACACGGCCCAGAAUCCUACGGGAGGGAGGAAUGGGGAAUAUUGGAACAAGGGGGGAAGGCUGAACCCGGCAAGGCGGGGUAGGGAUGGAGGGCCUAGGGUUGUAAAGCUCUUUUACCCGGGAUGAUAAUGACAGUACCGGGAGAAUAAGCUCCGGCUAACUCCGUG